RNAcentral lists this ribosomal RNA (497 nucleotides) under uncultured bacterium. Its description in RNAcentral is "partial 16S ribosomal RNA". It matches the Rfam family "Bacterial small subunit ribosomal RNA", at positions 28 to 507 of the family's 1533-position model. The record is from RNAcentral.
GACGAACGCUGGCGGCGUGCCUAAUACAUGCAAGUUGAGCGAUGAAGAUUGGUGCUUGCACCAAUUUGAAGAGCAGCGAACGGGUGAGUAACGCGUGGGGAAUCUGCCUUUGAGCGGGGGACAACAUUUGGAAACGAAUGCUAAUACCGCAUAACAACUUUAAACAUAAGUUUUAAGUUUGAAAGAUGCAAUUGCAUCACUCAAAGAUGAUCCCGCGUUGUAUUAGCUAGUUGGUGAGGUAAAGGCUCACCAAGGCGAUGAUACAUAGCCGACCUGAGAGGGUGAUCGGCCACAUUGGGACUGAGACACGGCCCAAACUCCUACGGGAGGCAGCAGUAGGGAAUCCUCGGCAACGGACGAAAGUCUGACCGAGCAACGCCGCGUGAGGGAAGAAGGGUUUCGGAUCGUAAAACUCUGUUGGUAGAGAAGAACGUUGGUGAGAGUGGAAAGCUCAUCAAGUGACGGUAACUACCCAGAAAGGGACGGCUAACUACGUG